This 469-nucleotide ribosomal RNA is filed under the name Phalantus feanus. Its description in RNAcentral is "SSU rRNA". It matches the Rfam family "Eukaryotic small subunit ribosomal RNA", at positions 661 to 1053 of the family's 1831-position model. The record is from RNAcentral. Lineage: Eukaryota; Metazoa; Arthropoda; Insecta; Hemiptera; Reduviidae.
CCUGUCGGUGUAACUGGCAUGUCGCGGCAUGUCCUGUCGGUGGUGAACGGGAUCCCCGGUACUGUUUAGACUUAACCGUCGAAGCAUGUAUCGUGUGUGUUUCCGUUUGCCGAUCUCUCCUACUCCGGUGCUCUUAAACGAGUGUCGAGGUAGGCCGACACGUUCACUUUGAACAAAUUAGAGUGCUUAAAGCAGGCUGAAAUAUCUGCCUGAAUAGUGGUGCAUGGAAUGAUAAAACAGGACCUCGGUUCUAUUUUGUUGGUUUUAGGAAUAUGAGGUAAUGAUCAAUGUGGACUGGCGGGGGCAUUCGUAUUGCGACGUUAGAGGUGAAAUUCUUGGAUCGUCGCAAGACGCACUAGAGCGAAAGCAUUUGCCAAGUAUGUCUUAAUUGAUCAAGAACGAAAGUUAGAGGUUCGAAGGCGAUCAGAUACCGCCCUAGUUCUAACCAUAAACGAUGCCAGCCAGCGAU